AUACGGAGGGUGCAAGCGUUAAUCGGAAUUACUGGGCGUAAAGCGUACGUAGGCGGUUCGUUAAGUUAGAUGUGAAAGCCCCGGGCUUAACCUGGGAACUGCAUUUAAAACUGGCGAACUAGAGUUGAGUAGAGGGGAGUGGAAUUUCAGGUGUAGCGGUGAAAUGCGUAGAGAUCUGAAGGAACACCAGUGGCGAAGGCGACUCCCUGGACUCGAACUGACGCUGAGGUACGAAAGCGUGGGUAGCAAACGGGAUUAGAAACCCCUGUAGUCC
This 274-nucleotide ribosomal RNA is filed under the name uncultured bacterium. RNAcentral describes it as "partial 16S ribosomal RNA". It matches the Rfam family "Bacterial small subunit ribosomal RNA", at positions 523 to 796 of the family's 1533-position model. The record is from RNAcentral.